UUGCUAAGGCUGAUGGCGACCGGCGCACGGGUGAGUAACACGUAUCCAACCUGCCGUCUACUCUUGGCCAGCCUUCUGAAAGGAAGAUUAAUCCAGGAUGGCAUCAUGAGUUCACAUGUCCGCAUGAUUAAAGGUAUUUUCCGGUAGACGAUGGGGAUGCGUUCCAUUAGAUAGUAGGCGGGGUAACGGCCCACCUAGUCAACGAUGGAUAGGGGUUCUGAGAGGAAGGUCCCCCACAUUGGAACUGAGACACGGUCCAAACUCCUACGGGAGGCAGCAGUGAGGAAUAUUGGUCAAUGGGCGAUGGCCUGAACCAGCCAAGUAGCGUGAAGGAUGACUGCCCUAUGGGUUGUAAACUUCUUUUAUAAAGGAAUAAAGUCGGGUAUGCAUACCCGUUUGCAUAUACUUUAUGAAUAAGGAUCGGCUAACUCCGUGCCAGCAGCCGCGGUAAUACGGAGGAUCCGAGCGUUAUCCGGAUUUAUUGGGUUUAAAGGGAGCGUAGAUGGAUGUUUAAGUCAGUUGUGAAAGUUUGCGGCUCAACCGUAAAAUUGCAGUUGAUACUGGAUGUCUUGAGUGCAGUUGAGGCAGGCGGAAUUCGUGGUGUAGCGGUGAAAUGCUUAGAUAUCACGAAGAACUCCGAUUGCGA
This 646-nucleotide ribosomal RNA is filed under the name uncultured Bacteroidales bacterium. RNAcentral's name for it is "bacterial SSU rRNA". It matches the Rfam family "Bacterial small subunit ribosomal RNA", at positions 75 to 718 of the family's 1533-position model. The record is from RNAcentral. Lineage: Bacteria; Pseudomonadati; Bacteroidota; Bacteroidia; Bacteroidales.